Cinara cedri is the source of this 535-nucleotide non-coding RNA. Lineage: Eukaryota; Metazoa; Arthropoda; Insecta; Hemiptera; Aphididae. The record is from the annotation of a GenBank genome assembly.
GGCUAGUUUGAAACUUUGACUUUUUUUUUUACUGUACUUAAGAAAUAUAUUUUUAAUUAAAAUGCAGAAAUGCUAAGAAACGAUCUAUUUUUUUCAAAACAAAUAAUUUAAAAAAAUCAAAAGAAAAAAUCCGCUUUUAUCAUAUAACGUUGAAAUGUGAUUCGCAUUACCUACACUAACACGUCAAAUCGCGUAUAUUUUCGCAAUUGACAAUUAUUAUUAUAAUAUUGUUCGGGCUCAUCAUUAUUUAUAGCAAAUACAUUUUUGAUGCGUCCAAUAUACGAAAUUACAUUGCGUUUUCGAUUGAUGUACAGAAGACGACAAACCAAUAAACAGCGGUUAUUACUUAUUACAUCACGGUUCAUUUCAUUCGGAAAUUCACUGGUCGAAAAUUAAUAAAUAAUUUAUAACUUACUACUUUAUUGCUUACAUUUUCUCGUCCGUUUGUGUGUCAAUAAUUUUUCUACCGGAAAUCUUACCUCAAUCAAAACAAAUGAUAAGAUAACUUGUUCGUUUCAUUAUGGAUCUCUUCGGU